RNAcentral lists this ribosomal RNA (275 nucleotides) under uncultured bacterium. RNAcentral's name for it is "partial 16S ribosomal RNA". It matches the Rfam family "Bacterial small subunit ribosomal RNA", at positions 399 to 691 of the family's 1533-position model. The record is from RNAcentral.
GCGUGAGUGAAGAAGGCCUUAGGGUUGUAAAGCUCUUUCACCCGCGAAGAUGAUGACGGUAGCGGGAGAAGAAGCCCCGGCUAACUCCGUGCCAGCAGCCGCGGUAAUACGGAGGGGGCUAGCGUUGUUCGGAAUUACUGGGCGUAAAGCGCACGUAGGCGGUCCACAUAGUUAGGCGUGAAAGGCCUGGGCUCAACCUGGGAACUGCGCUUAAUACUGGUGGGCUAGAGUCCGAGAGAGGGUAGUGGAAUUCCCAGUGUAGAGGUGAAAUUCGU